UGGCAAACUAGAUCACUUGCUCAGCAUAAUGUUGCUGGAGUGAGGGGAACAUGUUUGCAACAUUAACUUGUAACUGUGGUUACAGGCAGAAUUCCAGCUAACCGAUUCGAUUUAUUUUGGCUAGCAGCUCUGUAUCACAUACAAGA
Molecule: small nucleolar RNA, 146 nt
Organism: Hypanus sabinus (Atlantic stingray)
Lineage: Eukaryota; Metazoa; Chordata; Chondrichthyes; Myliobatiformes; Dasyatidae
Source: RefSeq, a predicted model, not a curated record